RNAcentral lists this ribosomal RNA (254 nucleotides) under uncultured bacterium. RNAcentral's name for it is "partial 16S ribosomal RNA". It matches the Rfam family "Bacterial small subunit ribosomal RNA", at positions 524 to 777 of the family's 1533-position model. The record is from RNAcentral.
UACGAGGGGGGCGAGCGUUGUUCGGAAUUAUUGGGCGUAAAGGGUGCGUAGGCGGUUCCGCAAGUCCUGUGUGAAAUCUUCGGGCUCAACUCGAAGUCUGCACGGGAAACUGCGGGGCUUGAGUGUGGGAGAGGUGAGUGGAAUUCCCGGUGUAGCGGUGAAAUGCGUAGAUAUCGGGAGGAACAUCUGUGGCGAAGGCGGCCAUCUGGACCAGCACUGACACUGAGGCACGAAAGCGUGGGGAGCAAACAGGG